AGAGAUAUCAUGGACUGAAAGGUGAUGGGUGCCCCAAUGAGCUCACUACAAGAUCUCAAAGAUUCCAAGCCACUGGCUGCUCCAAAGCAUAAAGCCACCCUUCCGGAGAGUCGGCAGGAAGGAAGCCUGGCGGAGGUGAGGAAACAUCACUCUUCCCUCUGCCCUUGACUCCAUCGGCCUUUAGCUGUCAGAUGGUCGGGCCCAGGCCUGAGGGGCUUUUUCCCGUGUGUCCUUCCACAGGCUCUGCUUUUGGCCAGAGGACAGACCACCUCCUCAGGUCUCUGGGGGAACUGCUGAAGGACAGUGAGGAAGAUGUUGCUGGUCCCCAGGACAGAAACAUAGCGGCUGGAGCCAGGAAGCACCUGGAGUGGGACUCAAGCCCAGCACCCCUUCAGACCGAUGCUCUCUGAGCGGCGUGUGGUCCCGGAUCGGACUGUUUUGGCUUUGCCAUCACGUGCAUAACACAGUUCUAGAUGCUUUUAAAUGGUU
This 489-nucleotide long non-coding RNA is filed under the name Lynx pardinus (Iberian lynx). The record is from RNAcentral. Lineage: Eukaryota; Metazoa; Chordata; Mammalia; Carnivora; Felidae.